Molecule: unclassified non-coding RNA, 208 nt
Filed under: soil metagenome
Description: partial contains 5.8S ribosomal RNA, internal transcribed spacer 2, and large subunit ribosomal RNA
Source: RNAcentral
AAGACUAUAGACCUGCGGAGUACCUGCGGAGGGAUCAUCAUUGAAAUUUUAUUAAGCCGAGAAUUUUUUCUGGCUUUACAAACAACACAGAUACCCAAAAAAAAAAAAUUUCUAGAAAAGAAUUUUGUGAAUGGUGGUUGCCUGAUAUAAAAAAAGUGUUUGGAAAAAGAGUGGAAUAAAAAAAAACAACUUUCAACAAUGGAUCUCU